This is a long non-coding RNA of Eucalyptus grandis, 1291 nucleotides long. RefSeq lists it as uncharacterized. The transcript has 4 exons. Lineage: Eukaryota; Viridiplantae; Streptophyta; Magnoliopsida; Myrtales; Myrtaceae. The record is from RefSeq and is a predicted model, not a curated record.
UUAUCGGUUUGAUUGAAAUUUGUUCUCCAGUCCCAUAAUUUUCCAAUUAAUGCAAAACCUGAUUCUCAUUCCUUCGGAGUUCGGUGUUUUAUUGAUGUAUGACCUGUGAUGGUUCUUUGCAAGGUGUAUGCAUCACAACAGAUUACUAUCUAAUACGGAUCCGCUUGCUGGUGUUUCCUUCCCAGAAAUAGUCCCUUCCUCAUGUUCUCUUCGUGCAUCUAUGAUUGUGCAUGCAUUCCUCAAUCGGCUGACACCCUUACUCUUCAAAGGAGACAUCGUUCCUGAAAACGCACUCCUGGCCUGUCUUCUUUUCUUUUUAUUUCUUGAUUGGUUUUAAAAUCAGUCUGAUUCUGUUUACGCUAUGUUAUUUUCUGAAGGAACGUCUGGCCUCUCUUGGACUCUGCCAUGUUGUGGGCAGUGUUAAGUGGUUUCUUUCUUCUCGGAGCGAUCAUUUUCUCUGAGGAUGAUGUCUGAGAGGACAAUGAAUAUGAUCCAGCUGGUCAUAGUUUGGUCAAGGCAAUACCCUACCUCGUCAAUUUCGAGAUGGAGUGUCUGUGGUCCAUGAUGGUUCUUUCUUGCUGCAUAAGAAUUAAUUCAUAGGACAAGCUCUCCUUUCAGAGUGCUUUCUUGUCUGAAAAGUUCUACACAAUUGGUUUCACUUCGGGGCAAAGUGGUAGCAUCUUAUUUCGAAAUGACGUACUUCAGAUAUCUAUCGCAAUUUGCAUUCUUAAUCUUUCUUAUAUUGUUUCUAUUUCGUAAUGGAAGAUGAUGGAUGAUACCAGUUGUUCUUUGGCAGAUUGGCAUUGGAUUGGAAACUUUUGAUUAUUGCAUCUUUCCUCUUGUACCGAUCUCUUUAUCCGAGCAUGUCGUCUAAGAAUGACAAAUACAUAGAAGCUGGUGAGUUAACAUAGAAGAAGGUGAUUGGGCUUCUUGGAGGAGAGGUGAUCUAUUAUGCAGUCUUUGUUUUCUUGAGUUCUGAAGUAGUCUUCUCUGAUUGCAUCUUCAGGAUGAGCGAAUUUUGAGGAUUUAUAGGCAUCUUGUAGUUUUGAUUUAAGUUUGUCUUCAGUUGAUUAUCUUCAGGAGCAGUGAGAUAAUUAUUAUCGAGUUCUAAUUCCUCUACUGGAAGCUUUUCCAUGUUGAGAAGUGGUGUGAUCUAUUGCCUUCUUCUGUAGGGUGAGUUGAUGAUUGUUUGAAAUUGGAUAAACAGCCAUUUUGUGGAUUCUAAGGACUGGUAUAUAUGAUGAGGUUGGUCAAUUAUUACUUAGAAUGACUGAGCUUUUCUUGAGUUUGA